GCAGGGGGGGCGGGGGGUCCCCUCCGCCGGGCUGGGGGCAGAGCCGGGGCUCGGGGGCUGGGGGCUGGCAGGGGCUGGGGGCGUUGGUGGCCGGGACGAUGCGGGGUGGGGGGCACAGACCCCGGCCCGAGCCCCCCCCCGCCGCUGCCAGAGGAGCCGCGAGGGCCGGUGAACAGCCCCCCGUCGGCUGGGACAAAAGGCUGGCGCAGAAAUGUCACUGCCAGCCGGAGCGGGGGGUCGAGGCGCCGGGAGGUGACCCCGGCGUGCCGCCGCACCACGACCCCCGUGGGGCCUCGUCGGGUCCCCCCGGCCCCUGGCAGCCCCGUCCCGUGGCACCAGCAGGGCCGGCGGUGCUCUCUGCGAGCCAGCAGCACCCCUCUGCCUCAGUUUCCCCCAAACUGGGCUGACUUUCGGAGGGGACUGGGGACGGCAGCGCUGUUUCUCCUCGAGCCGUCCUCCCCGGAGCCACCGGCAUCACCGGAGCUGCUGGGAGCCACGACCGACACCGGGAGCUCUCCUGCCGGGGUGCCCCCGGGCUGCCCCAUCUUUCAGGGACUCCCUGCUGCCCUCUUUCACCUCCUUUGCCCUCAAAAUCUGAGCCUCGCUCGUGAGGCAGAGCGUGCCAGGCUGGCGGGGUACCCAGGGACGAGCUGGCUGGCAGCAAGCACCGCGAGCGCUGGCACCGGGGAGCUCCGGGCAUCACCGCGACGGGUGCUGAGGCACCCGCAGAGCAAACCCCACAGCCUGGAGGGGAACCCGGGGCCGAGCUCCAACAGCGGGGGCCCCUCCAACGUCCCCCCAUCCCGCUCCCGACGGCAUCUGGCUGGCCUCAAGGCGGGGGAGCCCGGCCAGCAGCAUCGCCCUGGCGAGGGGGGGCCGUGGCCAUGCGCCCGCGCCGGGGGCCGAGCCAGCAGCGCGCUGGCAGGACAAGCGGCCUCCCGCCCCGCGGAUAAGCGGCGCGGAGCAGGGGCGAAGGGUUUGUUGUGUCUGCCGCCGGCCCAAGGAUUUUCCCAGGCCCCGGAGCGCUCGCACCCGCCGUGA
Long non-coding RNA from Anser brachyrhynchus (Pink-footed goose), 1041 nucleotides. Lineage: Eukaryota; Metazoa; Chordata; Aves; Anseriformes; Anatidae. The record is from Ensembl.